AACGAAUGCUGGCGGCAGGCCUUACACAUGCAAGUCGAACGUGAAAGUCCUUCGGGAUGAGUAAAGUGGCGCACGGGUGAGUAACGCGUGGGAACAUGCCCUUCAGUACGGGAUAACAGCGGGAAACUGCUGCUAAUACCGUAUAUUCCCUACGGGGGAAAGAUUUAUCGCUGAAGGAUUGGCCCGAGUUAGAUUAGCUAGUUGGUGAGGUAGUGGCUCACCAAGGCUACGAUCUAUAGCCGGUCUGAGAGGACGAUCGGCCACACUGGAACUGAGACACGGUCCAGACUCCUACGGGAGGCAGCAGUGGGGAAUAUUGGACAAUGGGCGAAAGCCUGAUCCAGCCAUGCCGCGUGAGUGAUGAAGGCCUUAGGGUUGUAAAGCUCUUUUGGCGGGGAAGAUAAUGACGGUACCCGCAGAAUAAGCCCCGGCUAACUUCGUGCCAGCCGCCGCCGUAA
This 458-nucleotide ribosomal RNA is filed under the name uncultured bacterium. RNAcentral describes it as "partial 16S ribosomal RNA". It matches the Rfam family "Bacterial small subunit ribosomal RNA", at positions 29 to 523 of the family's 1533-position model. The record is from RNAcentral.